Molecule: ribosomal RNA, 453 nt
Filed under: Theileria ovis
Lineage: Eukaryota; Apicomplexa; Aconoidasida; Piroplasmida; Theileriidae
Description: SSU rRNA
Rfam family: Eukaryotic small subunit ribosomal RNA
Source: RNAcentral
UGUCUUGUAAUUGGAAUGAUGGGAAUUUAAACCUCUUCCAGAGUAUCAAUUGGAGGGCAAGUCUGGUGCCAGCAGCCGCGGUAAUUCCAGCUCCAAUAGCGUAUAUUAAAAUUGUUGCAGUUAAAAAGCUCGUAGUUGAAUUUCUGCUGCAUUGCUUUUGCUCCUUUACGAGUCUUUGCAUUGUGGCUUAUUUCGGACUUUGUUUUACAAUGUCCGGAUGUUUACUUUGAGAAAAUUAGAGUGCUCAAAGCAGGCUUUCGCCUUGAAUAGUUUAGCAUGGAAUAAUAAAGUAGGACUUUGGUUCUAUUUUGUUGGUUUUAGGUACCAAAGUAAUGGUUAAUAGGAACAGUUGGGGGCAUUCGUAUUUAACUGUCAGAGGUGAAAUUCUUAGAUUUGUUAAAGACGAACUACUGCGAAAGCAUUUGCCAAGGAUGUUUUCAUUAAUCAAGAACG